Molecule: ribosomal RNA, 253 nt
Filed under: uncultured bacterium
Lineage: Bacteria
Description: partial 16S ribosomal RNA
Rfam family: Bacterial small subunit ribosomal RNA
Source: RNAcentral
UACGUAGGGGGCUAGCGUUGUCCGGAAUCAUUGGGCGUAAAGCGCGUGUAGGCGGUCCGGUAAGUCCGCUGUGAAAGUCGGGGGCUCAACCCUCGGAUGCCGGUGGAUACUGUCGGGCUUGAGUACGGAAGAGGCGAGUGGAAUUCCUGGUGUAGCGGUGAAAUGCGCAGAUAUCAGGAGGAACACCUAUUGCGAAGGCAGCUCGCUGGGACGUAACUGACGCUGAGACGCGAAAGCGUGGGGAGCAAACAGG